Molecule: ribosomal RNA, 470 nt
Filed under: uncultured bacterium
Lineage: Bacteria
Description: bacterial SSU rRNA
Rfam family: Bacterial small subunit ribosomal RNA
Source: RNAcentral
GACAAACGCUGGCGGGGUGCAUGAGACAUGCAAGUCGAACGAGUGCCAUCGGGCUUGCUCGAUGGCUACCUAGUGGCGGACGGCUGAGUAACGCGUAGGUGACCUACCCGGAAGUGGGGAAUAACUGCCCGAAAGGGUGGCUAAUACCGCAUGUGGUCGGCGAUUCGAAUUCGCCGUCUAAAGGAGCAAUUCGCUUCCCGGAGGGGCCUGCGUCCGAUUAGCUAGUUGGUGGGGAACGGCUCACCAAGGCGACGACGGGUAGCUGGUCUGAGAGGAUGGCCAGCCACAUUGGGACUGAGACACGGCCCAGGACUCCUACGGGAGGCAGCAGUGGGGAAUAUUGCGCGAUGGACGAAAGUCUGACGCAGCGACGCCGCGUGUGGGAUGGACGGUCUUCGGAUUGUAAACCACUGUCGGGAGGGACGAAUACGCCGCAAGGCGGGUGACGGUACCUCCAAAGGAAGCACCGG